UGACUUCGGGGACCAUAACGGCGUCGAGCGGCGGACGGGUGAGUAAUGCCUAGGAAAUUGCCCUGAUGUGGGGGAUAACCAUUGGAAACGAUGGCUAAUACCGCAUGAUGCCUACGGGCCAAAGAGGGGGACCUUCGGGCCUCUCGCGUCAGGAUAUGCCUAGGUGGGAUUAGCUAGUUGGUGAGGUAAGGGCUCACCAAGGCGACGAUCCCUAGCUGGUCUGAGAGGAUGAUCAGCCACACUGGAACUGAGACACGGUCCAGACUCCUACGGGAGGCAGCAGUGGGGAAUAUUGCACAAUGGGCGCAAGCCUGAUGCAGCCAUGCCGCGUGUGUGAAGAAGGCCUUCGGGUUGUAAAGCACUUUCAGUCGUGAGGAAGGUGGUGUAGUUAAUAGCUGCAUUAUUUGACGUUAGCGACAGAAGAAGCACCGGCUAACUCCGUGCCAGCAGCCGCGGUAAUACGGAGGGUGCGAGCGUUAAUCGGAAUUACUGGGCGUAAAGCGCAUGCAGGUGGUUUGUUAAGUCAGAUGUGAAAGCCCGGGGCUCAACCUCGGAAUUGCAUUUGAAACUGGCAGACUAGAGUACUGUAGAGGGGGGUAGAAUUUCAGGUGUAGCGGUGAAAUGCGUAGAGAUCUGAAGGAAUACCGGUGGCGAAGGCGGCCCCCUGGACAGAUACUGACACUCAGAUGCGAAAGCGUGGGGAGCAAACAGGAUUAGAUACCCUGGUAGUCCACGCCGUAAACGAUGUCUACUUGGAGGUUGUGGCCUUGAGCCGUGGCUUUCGGAGCUAACGCGUUAAGUAGACCGCCUGGGGAGUACGGUCGCAAGAUUAAAACUCAAAUGGAAUUGACGGGGGCCCGCACAAGCGGUGGAGCAUGUGGUUUAAUUCGAUGCAACGCGAAGAACCUUACCUACUCUUGACAUCCAGAGAACUUUCCAGAGAUGGAUUGGUGCCUUCGGGAACUCUGAGACAGGUGCUGCAUGGCUGUCGUCAGCUCGUGUUGUGAAAUGUUGGGUUAAGUCCCGCAACGAGCGCAACCCUUAUCCUUGUUUGCCAGCGAGUAAUGUCGGGAACUCCAGGGAGACUGCCGGUGAUAAACCGGAGGAAGGUGGGGACGACGUCAAGUCAUCAUGGCCCUUACGAGUAGGGCUACACACGUGCUACAAUGGCGCAUACAGAGGGCGGCCAACUUGCGAAAGUGAGCGAAUCCCAAAAAGUGCGUCGUAGUCCGGAUUGGAGUCUGCAACUCGACUCCAUGAAGUCGGAAUCGCUAGUAAUCGUGGAUCAGAAUGCCACGGUGAAUACGUUCCCGGGCCUUGUACACACCGCCCGUCACACCAUGGGAGUGGGCUGCAAAAGAAGUAGUAGUUUAACCUUCGGGGGGACGCUUACCACUUUGUGGUUCAUGACUGGGGUGAGUCUAGGUGA
RNAcentral lists this ribosomal RNA (1429 nucleotides) under Vibrio sp. RNAcentral's name for it is "bacterial SSU rRNA". It matches the Rfam family "Bacterial small subunit ribosomal RNA". Lineage: Bacteria; Pseudomonadati; Pseudomonadota; Gammaproteobacteria; Vibrionales; Vibrionaceae. The record is from RNAcentral.